Long non-coding RNA from Rhopilema esculentum, 5669 nucleotides. RefSeq lists it as uncharacterized. The record is from RefSeq and is a predicted model, not a curated record. Lineage: Eukaryota; Metazoa; Cnidaria; Scyphozoa; Rhizostomeae; Rhizostomatidae.
UAUAAUUUUGGAAAAUGGAAAUCUUAUGUCACUUCAUUCUUAAACAUUUUUGAUGUCACGUCACAGUGGACGUAACUGGAAGCCAUUUCCAGUCACAAAUGAAGGCAUUCCAUGAGUCAUUCUAACCUGCUUGUUUAAUCUCUCUGUCUUUCCAUUGCCUUCAUGAGUGCUGCACUGCCUGCACUUAAAUCUCACAUGCAAAACAUUCUUUCAUUAGUCACUAACUGUCUGCGUGUCUACCUUUCUCAUCUGCUUUAAUCUACUUGUAUGUUUGGUUAAAAUUAAGUUAAUCUGUGUUCAAAAAAAAUUAGUGACAGCAUCUCGACAGAUGGUAUUUCAUUUCCAAACCAAUGAGAUGCAUUUGUGUCCGUGAAUAAACAGCAUCGAGAAGAACAGGAAGGUGUUCUGAAGAUCAAAAUUAGUGGGUUCGCGAUAUAAUUAUUCAUUAUGUCUUUGGACAUCUGACAAUACAUCUGCUUCAUGGGAACAGAAUUUGGAUUGAUGAUAUUUGCUUUUUCAUUUCAUAUGGAGAGAUUUGGAUGAAGAUCAAAACUGCAGUUUCUGUCAUGCAUAAUUGAAGAUAAGAAGAGCCUACAACCUUUGCUAUAGCCUCACGACAUCAGCACAGCGGGUUCGCUGCGAAGAAAGCCAGGUGAUUCCACUUUAUUCAUAUAUCUGUUUACAUUAGGAUUUUAUUUCCAUAAUCCAAAAUAGAGUAGGAAUGCACUGUAGCCUAUGUUACAGACACAGGUUGUGUAAAAUGUAAUCAUUUGCGAUUUAUAUGCUUGUGCAAGGAUACCCAUAAAAGAUAAGCCCAAUAUUAUUGCUCUGUAUUCUUCGAUUGCCAAGAAUAUUUAUUUGGGCAAAGACAAAUUGGUUGUUUUCCGUUAUCCUCCUACCUCAUGACAUCCGAAAACUCUAUGUUUCACAAAUUCGUAGUUUUUGUUUGGCUAUUUGCUUCAAGGAACUACGUAAAGCGUGCUUCGUUGAGAAGUUUGCGGUUUAGCGUGACGCUUCUAUUUCUCAAUAAGAAUUUGAGACUCUUUUCUUAUGAUUAUUAAAUAAAAAUUUGUGUCUGUAAUUGUAACAGUAGAUUAGAGGGCGAUGACAUAGAAAACCUCCAGCAUGGCUUAGUGUUCUGAUCUUUUAAUUGACUGUUUUGACUUCGACUUGCAUUUAAUGCUCCUGAUUCAUUAGAAAAAGCACAGCAUAUUCAAGGCUAGCCAAAACAGCCUGCAUUAUCACACCACAGCCGUUCAAUGAACAACACCAACUUUAAAUUCCGUGAAAGAAAAUGAAGCCAGGUUUUUAUUGAUGCUGUUCAUGUCUAGUGAGCCAGAUUAACUGAAUGAACAAAUCGUUCCUUUAUAAGAGAAAUCCUGCUAAGCGAUAUGACACCGAAAACGAGAACAUAUGACACACGAGAAGAGUGUAGGAAAGGCACAAAGUCAGUUAACAUCCUAGGACCAAAACAGGCGUCGAUAAUCGAAGGGUGUGUAUGCUCUCUAGAGAGAAAAAUGAUUUAUGACAAUAUGACAAAUGUAAAAUAAAAAGCUUAGCGAAAAAUGGGGAACCUAUAAGGUGACUUGGAGAGAAGACGAAAUUUUAAUAACAGGGCGCAUUUUUAGCUAGAAGUACAGCAAAUCCAUUAGAGCAAUAAAGAAGGAGCUGCCGAAGAAUACAAGCAAUGAGCGGCCGUAGAGCAUCUCUUAAGCACAAGAAACUAAACAAAGGACACUGUAAACUCUUGCAUAACGAAAACAUUGGAGUAUUGUACGAUCAUCAGGUUAUUUUUUGACAGAAAGUUGAUGUACCGGUAUAUCGAAAAGUUUUAGAAUACGCAGAAUAAUCCCUAGAAUCGAGCAAAAACAUGAUGCUCUGCUUCUUAGAGCAAUGUAAUUUUAGAAAAUGUUCCUUUCUAGACACACCCUUCUUGAACAAUGUGCAUGUCAGCUCUUUCACUUGGGUAGGAGAGUGAAAUGUUGGGAAAAGAAACGGGCAGCUUAAAACAAAAAGUUUGGGUGUCCAGAGGACCUUUUUGAAUAAUUGACAGCAAUAUGCAAAUAUAUUCUUGCGAAGCAAACCAUGGCUUAAACCAAUUUUUGGGCAUGCUGGAAAUGGGUGUCGGUUAUGCUUGAGCAGUGGUGGAAAUUGCGGGGGCGUGGGGGCAACGUUUUGCUAAAUUGUCGGUUUUUUCGGUGAAGUAUGUCAUUUGUCGGCAAAUUUCCUUUCUUUGUGAGCACUGCCCCCCCCACACUUGAAAAAUGAAUUUCCGCCACUGGGCUUGAGCCCUAGAAAUAAGUGACGUCUUAAGUAACAUCAUCAUGUGGAAGGGUGCUUGCUUCAGUGGUUUUAUCUAGAAAAACUUUGCUUUGUUCUUUGACAAGCCAUUGCUGACUUUAGACGCAUGGAAAGGUAAAGGCGACUUGAAAACUUUGGAAAUGUCUAAAUAGAUUGAAGAGCUGAAAGCUUCCCUUAAAAAAUAUACCAAAACCAGGUGAAAUUAAAUCUUAUCUGGACACCCAAAUCUAAACAGUGAUGGGUAUUUCAAGGCUCAUAUAACUUCCCUUAGUUACAGAGCAUCUUGAAUAAAAAGAAUUAAGACAUUCCUUUUACACGAGCAGCUUGAUAAACUGUAGAUGAGACAAUGAAAUUAAUAUUUUCUUUAAUAAUUGAGAGAAUUUUACUUCAAUAAUUGUGAGGUUCUCUAGAGAUCUUGAUGCCACUCCCUUUAAAUUGCGAUUGUUGCCUUCUCGAAAGAUAUUUUUAUUUCAUUCAGAAAUCAAACGAUGCUAACAACAAAAACAAAAUAACUGCAAUGUAAAAUAUUAACAUGGUAAUAAAAAUUUUUCGAAAAAUUUAUAAUUAGGUAUCAUUCUCCAGAAGGAAAAAGCAGGAAAACGUAGAAACGACGAUGAUAGUGGCAAUUGCACAGGCUUACUCUCUUGAAUGAAAUGAAUUUUUAAUAACAAGGUUUCAUAGCAAAAGACUUAAACGUAGAAACCAGGAAAAGUGAUGAAUUGCAGAAAAUCACUGUGAAUGUGGAAGAGUAAACGUGAAAAACACCCGUACAUAAAAAUCGCUAAAAUAUCCCUCACUUGAGUAAGAUCGGCUUUCGCAAAUGAUUGGUAUAAAUAAGAUUUCAAUUAAGAUGAAAGUAGUACAUAAAAACACAAGAAGAAAGCAUCAAAAUCGGCAUACUAUCCAGACAAAAUAGAGGUAUGGUGGACAUCAAUCGCCGAUACUUAGUUGUAUAGCCAUACCAUAAACUUUGUAAGCCUACAGAUAAGAUCUGAUCAAAAGUGGGUGAAACUCACUGUUUAACAACAGAGUAGCUACAAAAUAAAAGCAUAAUUUUCUAUAAAUUGAUAAAUUAACAGCUUUUCUGUUUACCUCGGCGUAUUUCUGAACAAAGAAAUCCGUGUUUGCCUCCAGCAACAUGAGCAAAAACAGAGAUUAAAAAGAUCGACAGAACCAUAGGCCAUGUCAUAGUGAGAGAACUUUACUUGCUGUAGUACAGAUUUUUGAAUACAUAAUGAAGAAGAAAAAGGCGAACAUCUGUCCAAGAUCUGAAUCCAGUUGGGCGUGGUUGAGACUCAUUGAUUCAAAAUUGUUUCUGCUAACAAAAAUCGAGCUUGUGAUAGCGUGUUCAACGCUUCUCUGUAAUCAGUCAAACAAGAAUAAUUGCUUGGCAACAGACGUCUGGCAAUCAAAGAUACAUUGUCAUGGAAAGCGAUGCGAUGCGAUACUGUAGUGGGUAAUUUCAGAAAUCUUGUCAGGGAAGGCGAUGUUGGGUGUCAAAAAAUGUGAGAAAGGAAAGGCCCUGUGAUUUUGCGAGUGAGAAACACCAACUGUAAUGAAACAUAUCUGUGUUGUUAAAGUUGUUGGGUACCGUUCCAACUUCGAAAUUAUUUGCUUCUUUUCUAUAAAUGUCCAUUAAUUUCGCUGAUGCUUCAGCUUUAAAGUUAAUAAGAUUUUAUCCAAACGAGAUCAAGGUCCCAUGUAACUUAUCAAAAAACAAUAUUAAAUGAAGUUAAAGCCAGGUAUGUACUUAUCUCAAACGGAUUAAAAAAAUUCAUUUUGACCUGUUCAGCAUGUCAUAAAAUUUUCGAACUCAGGUAGCACAAAUCUUUAGUGUUCGUAAACAUUUUCUAGCAGAAAAAACACGGGUAUCCAUCACAAAGGCUUCAAAUACCCAAAUCAAAUACAAAAACUAAAAUUAGGCACUUUGCUCGAUUGUUGUGGAUAAUUCCCUGUCUAAUAGACUUACACGGAACAUUAUGACAUUCCACCUGCAGACAUGCAGGCACCAUUCUCCAAAAAGGGAGCGAGUUCUAUAAAGUUCCAAAGUAAUGACGUCAUAAGAACUUAUUUUAGACUUUUUGGAUUUUGAACUAAUAAACCUAAAAGAGCAUUAUGAUAAGCAUUUAAUGGUGCGAAAUCAAAUGAGUAUGUUAAAGAUUGGCAGAGAUUUGGCCACAAAAGCAUAGGUUCCACCCAAUACGUUUUUCGGGGAAUUGGCAAACUUUUGUGAACGGGAUUCGGGAAUCAAUAACACCGGGAUUCGGUAAUUGAUGGGCUGGAAUCGGGAAUUCGGCAAAAAAGUACCUGGAAUUUAGGAAUGAGGGAAACAAUUGGAUACCCUUCAUCAAAUCACUGUAACUUUAUGAACCAGGCCAGACAGUAACCCGCUAGCAAACUUUGACCAGACAGUAACCCGAAAAUCUUUUAUUGGCCAUAACUCACCUAAUUUUACACAUAUUGAAAUUAUUUUGCAUAUAAAGAACAUCUAAAAAUUUAUUUUGAUGACGUCACACUAUAUGGACUCGGAGAUAUUUCAACGAUAGUGUUGUCAUAGCGCAUGGCCAUUCCUAAAUGAGAUAUAUCAUAUCUAAAGCUAUGGCAAAGCCAAUAAUCACCACAAUCGAUUAUUGUAAAUCGAUGUUGGAGCAUUGGUUUGGUAUUUGUACAUAUAAUUUAAGCGGAAGUGCUAGGUACAAGCAUCAGCAUCCGAUUACAAACAUCUUCAUUUAGUUAAAUACCAGACAAUAUACAAAACAUAAAAAGUCUAUUAGCAUAAUACUCUUAAAGAGAUUAUGCUUGUUUUAAUUAAGUGAAGGGUGAUUAAGCGAGGGGUGGUUUGGUUAGUCGUUUCUAUAGUCAACAUGAACAAAACAAAAGUGAAGACCACUGGACAUGGCGUCGUUCUUCGGUAAUCUAUUGCGAGAGGCUUACUGACGACUCUAAAGCCUUGGCCAAACGAUUCGAUUUUUCAAUCGAUUUUUUUCUCUACAUUUUAUCUCAAAAUCGAGCGAAGUCAAGCAUGGAUGGCCAAACGAUUCGAUUUUCCACUCGAUUUUUCACUCGAUUAUUUACUCAAUCGCCAAAGCCAAAGCGCGCCAAAUCCAGAACUCUGCGAUUAAAAAUGGCGGAAAAGAAACCGAAAGCGGCUGUCAUGCUUAUCUUUAUGGAAGUUUUGGAAGACAAAGAUGAGCUGGACGAUAACCCCAGCUUCACCAGCGAUCCACUCUUUUACACAAUCAAAAUGGCUGUCUUGUCUCCUGCAAAAAUAAUUCCCGCGCGAAAACAGGUUAUUGCGCAUGCGCUUACUAGACUCACUCGUCAACGUGGCCAAACGACUCGAUUUUCAUUUGACAAAACCUUUUUCA